CCUACGGGAGACAGCAGUGGGGAAUAUUGGGCAAUGGGCGCAAGCCUGACCCAGCAACGCCGCGUGAAGGAAGAAGGCUUUCGGGUUGUAAACUUCUUUUCUCAGGGACGAAGCAAGUGACGGUACCUGAGGAAUAAGCCACGGCUAACUACGUGCCAGCAGCCGCGGUAAUACGUAGGUGGCAAGCGUUAUGCGGAUUUACUGGGUGGAAAGGGCGUGUAGGCGGGGACGCAAGUCAGAUGUGAAAACCAUGGGCUCAACCUGUGGCCUGCAUUUGAAACUGUGUUUCUUGAGUACUGGAGAGGCAGACGGAAUUCCUAGUGUAGCGGUGAAAUGCGUAGAUAUUAGGAGGAACACCAGUUGCGAAGGCGGCUCUCUGGACUGUAACUGACACUGAGGCACGAAAGCGUGGGGAGCAAACAGGAUUAGAUACCCCAGUAGUC
Molecule: ribosomal RNA, 443 nt
Filed under: uncultured bacterium
Lineage: Bacteria
Description: partial 16S ribosomal RNA
Rfam family: Bacterial small subunit ribosomal RNA
Source: RNAcentral